GAUGAACGCUGGCGGCGUGCUUAACACAUGCAAGUCGAACGAGAAGUGAAGACGGAACCCUUCGGGCGGAAGGCUUUAUUUCGAGUGGCGGACGGGUGAGUAACGCGUGGGUAACCUGCCUCAUACAGGGGGAUAACAGUUGGAAACGACUGUUAAUACCGCAUAAGACCACAGCACCGCAUGGUGCGGGGGUAAAAACUCCGGUGGUAUGAGAUGGACCCGCGUUCGAUUAGCCAGUUGGCGGGGUAACGGCCCACCAAAGCGACGAUCGAUAGCCGAUCUGAGAGGAUGACCGGCCACAGUGGGACUGAGACACGGCCCAAACUCCUACGGGAGGCAGCAGUGGGGAAUAUUGCACAAUGGGGGAAACCCUGAUGCAGCGACGCCGCGUGAGUGAAGAAGUAUUUCGGUAUGUAAAGCUCUAUCAGCGGGGAAGAAAAUGACGGUACCUGAGUAAGAAGCCCCGGCUAACUACGUG
This 478-nucleotide ribosomal RNA is filed under the name uncultured bacterium. RNAcentral describes it as "partial 16S ribosomal RNA". It matches the Rfam family "Bacterial small subunit ribosomal RNA", at positions 28 to 507 of the family's 1533-position model. The record is from RNAcentral.